Molecule: RNA transcript, 6697 nt
Organism: Micropterus dolomieu (smallmouth bass)
Lineage: Eukaryota; Metazoa; Chordata; Actinopteri; Centrarchiformes; Centrarchidae
Gene: akt3a
Gene name: v-akt murine thymoma viral oncogene homolog 3a
Exons: 18
Source: RefSeq, a predicted model, not a curated record
CGAGAGCAGGGGGUUACCGUUUCUCUGGGUGACGUCACGAGCUUUCCUGAAAGUCAAAACAACCGUUGGCUGCGGUAACCGUCGUGGCUUGUGGGAAAUCCGUUAGAUACGUUAUGUUUGCUGUAAACGAUUAUUUUUUCCCCGACUCGUCACGUUGACAGCGACCGUUGACUAGCGGUUUAGCUUGGCUUGCAGUCCAGCAUAGCUUUACGUUAACGUUACUGACUUACUCACUCAGAAGAAGGGAGGAAAGAAAAUAACCAGGGCGGUUUAUGAACAGCAGGUGCACGGGAAUACCAGAACACCUGCCGCUACAGGCUGAGUCACUGCUGGUGAGGAGGAAGGUCUGGAGAGGGAACGAGAGAGGAAAAGGAGGAGGUGGAGGAGGAGGGGGAGAAGAAGACGAAGAAGGGAGGGAGGCAGGGAGAUAAGCCACAACAGGAAGCAAAACGACACACACGCUUACACACAAACACACACGGUGUUUGUGUGUGUGUGCGUCUGAGAGGGAGACUGCGCGAACGAGGGUGAACGGGAAAGGAAGGGAGGGAGAGUGACGCGGAGGCUGGGAGAGCCGGCCCCCCCCUCUCCUCCUCCUCUCCUCCUCUCCCUCUCUUUCUCUCCUCUCCUCCUCUCCUCCCCUCCUCCCGCUCUCUCUCUGUGGAGCAGGCGUGUAGCGGCAUCAGACUCGGCGUGAAGGAACCAUGAGCGAUGUCACCAUCGUUAGAGAGGGAUGGCUCCAGAAACGGGGAUCAGGGUCGGGGUGCUGACUCACUGUCCAGGUCGUGAUACAGCAAAGACUGCAGUCUUAGUCAUUUGAAAGCUUUUUACUGAAGCGAAACAGCGAGAGAGAUCGAGAAAGGUGAAUACAUAAAGAACUGGCGGCCGCGUUACUUCCUGUUGAAGACAGACGGCUCUUUCAUUGGCUACAAAGAGAAACCUCAGGAUGCCGACCUGCCCUACCCCCUAAAUAACUUCUCUGUAGCAAAAUGUCAGCUGAUGAAGACGGAGAGGCCGAAGCCAAACACCUUCAUCAUACGCUGCCUCCAGUGGACCACCGUCAUCGAGAGGACCUUCCACGUGGACUCGCCUGAUGAGAGAGAUGAGUGGACGGAGGCCAUCCAGAUGGUGGCUGACAAGCUGCAGAGACAAGAGGAAGAAAGGAUCCAGUGCAGCCCCACCUCCAACAUCGACAACAUGGUCGAGGAGGAGAUGGACAUCUCCACCACACACCACAAACGCAAGACAAUGAGUGACUUUGACUACCUUAAGCUGCUGGGAAAGGGAACCUUUGGUAAAGUGAUUCUUGUCCGAGAAAAGGCCAGUGGGAAAUACUACGCCAUGAAAAUCCUUAAAAAAGAAGUCAUCAUAGCCAAGGAUGAAGUGGCUCACACACUCACAGAGAGCAGAGUACUGAAAAACACCAGACACCCCUUUCUCACUUCACUGAAGUAUUCAUUCCAGACUAAAGACCGCCUCUGUUUUGUCAUGGAGUAUGUGAAUGGAGGAGAGCUGUUUUUCCAUUUGUCCAGAGAGCGGGUGUUCUCAGAGGAGCGCACGCGCUUCUAUGGCGCCGAGAUCGUCUCGGCUCUCGACUACUUGCAUUCAGCCAAGAUUGUGUACCGGGACCUCAAGUUGGAAAACCUGAUGCUAGAUAAAGAUGGCCAUAUCAAGAUCACUGAUUUUGGCCUCUGCAAGGAGGGAAUCACAGACGCUGCUACUAUGAAGACCUUCUGCGGCACGCCAGAGUACCUCGCACCUGAGGUAAGCGAACAGGCACAAGAGAGGAUGAAAGAGAAGGAACGAGCAAGGCAAGAUACGAUUAGAGGACAGAAGGACAGGAUAAGACAGGAUAGAGUGGACAGCGCAAGUAGAGAGCAGGUCCUGGAGGACAACGACUACGGUCGGGCGGUGGACUGGUGGGGUUUGGGUGUGGUGACAUACGAGAUGAUGUGUGGCCGACUGCCGUUCUACAACCAGGACCACGAGAAGCUGUUUGAGCUCAUCCUCAUGGAGGACAUCAAGUUUCCGCGCACUCUGUCGGCCGACGCCAAGUCCCUGCUCUCCGGCCUGCUCAUCAAAGACCCCAACAAAAGGCUCGGUGGAGGACCAGAUGACGCUAAAGAAAUAAUGAGACACAGUUUCUUCUCUGGUGUUGACUGGCAGGAUGUCUAUGAUAAAAAGCUGGUCCCUCCCUUCAAGCCUCAGGUGACGUCGGAGACAGACACCAGAUACUUUGACGAAGAGUUCACAGCCCAGACCAUUACAAUCACUCCACCAGAGAAAUUUGACGAGGACGGGAUGGACUGUCUGGACAACGAGAGAAGACCGCACUUCCCUCAGUUCUCUUACUCUGCCAGUGGGCGGGAAUGAACUGUCCAUCACAGCGACAUCAUCACAGCUGGUCUCCGAGGUCAUCAAUGUGGGACAAAAAGACCCACUGCUUUGGCCCAACCCAGACUUGAAGGAUUUUGCCCUUGUCCUCCUCGUCCUCUCCUCUUCCUCGCCCUCUCUUUUUCACCUCUUCAGUCUGCUUCUCUCUUUUAUUUAUAUAUAUUUUUUUGUGAAACCCUUUUCAGAGAGAACUUCCAGGCAAAAUUGCUUUCUAAUCCUGCGCUGCAACCCUAGGUGAUCCGAACUGUGAUGUGAUCAGUUACUAUGUAAUGUCCCUUUAAUGACAGGAGCAUCACCGGUGGCCUGCUGUGCUUUGACAUGUGUCUGUCCUGCCAAACUCUAAAAAAACAAAACACACCUCUGAUCAAGUUAGACAGCUGAUGCAUUUUUUUAAGGCAACGUUUUUGUGGCUUCUUAUCUGUGAGAUGGAGAUAUAGCAUUUUAAGUCAUUCAAACCCAAACUGCCGUUACCGGUUGUAUCUCAGGCUUUUGCAAACAGACGGAUGCUCAGACUUGGAGAGACACUCUGGUCUGAGUUCAAAUCCUCACGUAAAUAAUUCUGGGGUUGAUUGAGGCUGCCUGGCAUUGAGGAAGCAGUUGUCAUCAGUGAGCAGAAUCCUACACACCUCAUGUUGUCAAGCAGGAUUUGACUCAGGUUUUGCUCAGUGCAAUUCAUUCUUGUUGUUGCUGCUAUUUCAACUACUACAGGUACUACUACUCCUACCACUACUAUACUACUACUGCUACAACUGAAACCCGGUGCUACACUAUUAGCUUAAUGCUGCAGAUCAUUAUACAGGCGCCAGCAACACAUCAGCCACCACGUAUCUAUGCUUUUACAGCUUCAGAACAGGUGUUGCCAUUACACCUAAUGUAUGUCUAUUACAUGUCAACUCUGUAUAUUAAGAUGACGAUAAGAUGUCAAGGUUGUGUGUGCGUGUGUGUGUGUGAGAGAGAGAGUGUACGAGGUAUAUCGGUUUGUGUUUAAGAACGCACCUCAAAGCACAGCAGUUCAGAAGGAUGAAGCUCCCCAACCAUGAGCUUUACUACGUUACCCACAAUGCAGUGCAAGGUGGUUGUUAUAUCCAUCACAGCGGAGGUGAAAAUGAGAGGAAAACGGUUGGUUUGAAUGUACCCCCACCCCAAAGUUUGCUUUUUUAUUUAUUUCUCAACUACAUAUCCCUAAAUCUCUUCUGUCCCAAAAGGGAAAACAAAACCGAGACGAUACUCUGUGUCGAUGACGGAAAGCUUUACUGUGACGUAUUGUUGUCACGGCUUUGGGAAACCGUAUCUCUCUGUGUUUGUGCAGGAAAGGGAAACUGCAGCAGGGACAGAUUCACCACCGAGUGAAAUAAGAAGUCCUGGAUGGCAGGUUGGGCAAUGUGAUGAGGAGAGUACAGCUGAGACGCGAUGGGACACAUUAAAGACAGACGAUAACUUACCCUGAACUCAAAGAAACGUUUGGGACCCAGAAAUGUGUGUGUUGGUAAAAGGCUGAGAGAGAGUGAGAGGGAGAGUCGAGGGAGAAAGAAGAAGUGGAAGUUGAGCAGAAAGGAAACAAGUGCAGCACAGAAGUCUGAAUGUAAAGCGGUGAGGAUGGAAAAGAUUCAAAACUGAAUUGUAAGUGCUACUGUUUACUGUAAGUGUGUUGAGAUAGAGUCUAGGAGAGAGUAAAAAAGAAGCAUAAUGUGAGUUUGUAAGGUCGGUCACUGUUUUCCUGUCAGUGCUUUGACUUUUAGAUGAGGGAGAUAAUUUCCCCCUGCUACCUUUAUUUUUUUUGGAUGAGUUUGGAUGAUCAGAGUUGGGUGCCUGACCACUAAACCGCCACCUGCACUCUCCUCUGUCUUUAGCGUGUGCUGUCAUUUCUCCGGUCUGGACGUUUGUUUGUUUGCGUCAUGUCUUCCAGUCUGACCAAUUUAAAAUCCCCACAGUUUCUCUCGUCUUCAAACGCCAGUAAGCCUUAUGGUUUAGCUCAGAAUGAGGAAAAAAAAAAAAAAACUUUUGACAUUCACACACACACACACAAAAAAAAUCAUCAGAUGUGAGGAAAUAUACUAAUCUCUACUGCAUCAAAGAAAUGUUGCAGACCUCACCUCCAAUAUCUGGAGGAUAGUUUAAAAAGAGAGCACCGGGGGAUGUGCUCUCAUUAGGCACAGAAAAUUGUAUUUGAAUAUAUUUAUUUUAAUGUUUUUAUUGUCAUCGAUGGAUAACUUGAAUUUCUUUUGUAUUUAAUUUAUUUGAUGUCAUGUUGUUUUGGAGUUUAGCAGUAGGGGGGUAUAGUUGUGUUUCACUCUGCAGUUUAAGUUUUAAGACUUCGUUCUAAAAAUAAAUGCCUCCUUUUUUUCUUUACAGAUAUCUCUUAUAUGACACAUUACCUGUUUUUCCGCUGCUCUUAAGUCCAUAUGCUUUACUCUUGCACAUCCAUUAAACUGCUAUUAGCUAGCAAAGGCGCUUUAUGGCAGAAAGUAUAAAAGGAUGGUGCUGGCCUGCAUGCUGUAGUCCUCCUCUGUCCGCACUACCAGUCCCAAGUCAAAGUGGCACUCAGAAGUCUUAUGAAAAAUACUUCUCUGUGAUCGAUUGAGCCUGUCUGGCACAGCUGAAGCAGCCGAAUCCCACCCAGCUGGCACCCUCGACAGGCUCAAGCAAACGCUCCCAAGUAUUUGGAAGGAUUUCAGCUUUGAUUUGACCCAGGUCUGCGAGUGACUGAGGAGUUCUAGCUGUAUGUGCACGCUUACCGCCAAAAUCAUUAGAAACCAGAGUUCAUAAAACACUGCUUUGUAGCUUUGGCCACAGCACUUUCACAUCCAUCACUUUUGAUAUGAUUCAGAGGAAUCUGAUUCAGCCCUGCUUUAAAGGAAGAUUUUUAGCUUUUUUUAAAAACAUGUUUUUAAGAAAAUGAGGAUUUUUAAAGCACAUCUCCCCUUCUCGUACGACCGAUAGCUUUGAUGUUGCUCUGAUGUCCAGAGUUGGAAAGACCUGGGCGAUUGUGUCCCACAUGCCAGAGACGAGUCAGUGCUGCCACUGCAGAGUGAGCUGUGGCUCAUGCUCAGUUGACAUUUUCAGUAAAUCGCUCAGUCCUCAUAAACUGAAAUGUUCGUUGCAACUAAACUGAUGUGACAGAGUACUCCUCCUCUUCUGUUCUGAAAAGUUUUCCCUCCUUGUUCAAUAUCCCACUGAUUCAAGUUCAUUUACUGGCAGCAACAAUGCCAGAGGCUGAUCCUGAGGUCAGAGAUCAUGAGAACAAAACACGCUUUCCUCCGACUACUGUAAGUGGAGAAGGUGGAGCUUAGUAAUCCUCCUUAUCAGUGUGGGUUUACCUUUAAGACUAAAUCAGUCGUGAGCACGUGUCAGUAAUUGAACAUUUGUCUCGGUUGUUAUCACCAAACAGGUUCUUUAACUGGACGUUGACGUCCUCACAGCUUUACUGGUGCCCUCGACUGGUGUGAAUCGACAGUAUGUGAGAUAUCCAACACUGCACUGACAGUGUUCACUCUUAAAGCUGCUGCUGUUUGUACUGUACAUCUAUCACACACCAGAUCUGACUCCAGUAGUAUCUGAAUAAUAUGUAAAAUCCUUGCAAAGACCUCAGCUGCUCUGUAUUGAUCUCGCCUGUUGUUAAUGAGCGAACAGCGUCAGCCAAAAAUCACAAGCCGCACCCAGCCUGGCGUUUAAUGCCGAUAACAAGUAAAUGGCUCCAGUGUUUGGAAGGAUUUCUGAAAGUAUUUGACCUCAUGUCUGUGACAGAAUCCCCCCCCCUCUUCUCUCUUUGGUACUAGUCUACUAUCAUCAUGAUUAUUAACAUGAACAAGCAUGAGAUGCAUUAAUUUAUAAACAGCAAACGAAAAACGGCAAACAUGUACAAAUACUACAAAGUGUAAUUGAGUCUUAAUUUCACAUCCGUGUCCAUCUACUGUAGCUUUACAGUUGUGCGAGACAUUUUUCUGGACAGCUGCCAGCUGUCCAGCUGCAGCGGGGGCCGUGUUUCCCUGAAACACUGUAAUACUGAAGUCAGCUCUGCUCUACGACACGUCAGUAGAGCAGAGACAAUGUCGACUCUGAGACAGUGUCGGGAAACUCGGCAGAUCGAUCAAACAGCCCUUUUCUGUCCCCCAUGCUGUUAGGAUGCAGUGCUGCUGGCCAGUGAGGCCGCGAGGAUGUGAAAACAACAAAUUACCAUCAACAUGAAGCUGUUUUUUACACUGUACAUCCUUAGUAUUUUUACACAUGAUGAAAUGUAUAUGAUAGGGAUGCACAUUAUUUUCCUUCUUACAGACAGCUUCAAUAAAGCACUAUGUCAAUCUGC